GUGGGGUUGGCAGAGUGGUCGAUUGCGGGGGACUGUAAAUCCUCACUGAAAGGCGCGGUGGUUCGAAUCCAUCAUCCCACA
This 81-nucleotide transfer RNA is filed under the name Salmonella phage FSL SP-058. It matches the Rfam family "tRNA". Rfam says of the family: Transfer RNA (tRNA) molecules are approximately 80 nucleotides in length. Their secondary structure includes four short double-helical elements and three loops (D, anti-codon, and T loops). Further hydrogen bonds mediate the characteristic L-shaped molecular structure. tRNAs have two regions of fundamental functional importance: the anti-codon, which is responsible for specific mRNA codon recognition, and the 3' end, to which the tRNAs corresponding amino acid is attached (by aminoacyl-tRNA synthetases). tRNAs cope with the degeneracy of the genetic code in two manners: having more than one tRNA (with a specific anti-codon) for a particular amino acid; and 'wobble' base-pairing, i.e. permitting non-standard base-pairing at the 3rd anti-codon position. RNAcentral also lists the same sequence under 5 other names. Lineage: Duplodnaviria; Heunggongvirae; Uroviricota; Caudoviricetes; Schitoviridae. The record is from Rfam by way of RNAcentral.